RNAcentral lists this ribosomal RNA (515 nucleotides) under Bacillus pumilus. RNAcentral describes it as "bacterial SSU rRNA". It matches the Rfam family "Bacterial small subunit ribosomal RNA", at positions 56 to 558 of the family's 1533-position model. The record is from RNAcentral. Lineage: Bacteria; Bacillati; Bacillota; Bacilli; Caryophanales; Bacillaceae.
UGCAGUCGAGCGGACAGAAGGGAGCUUGCUCCCGGAUGUUAGCGGCGGACGGGUGAGUAACACGUGGGUAACCUGCCUGUAAGACUGGGAUAACUCCGGGAAACCGGAGCUAAUACCGGAUAGUUCCUUGAACCGCAUGGUUCAAGGAUGAAAGACGGUUUCGGCUGUCACUUACAGAUGGACCCGCGGCGCAUUAGCUAGUUGGUGGGGUAAUGGCUCACCAAGGCGACGAUGCGUAGCCGACCUGAGAGGGUGAUCGGCCACACUGGGACUGAGACACGGCCCAGACUCCUACGGGAGGCAGCAGUAGGGAAUCUUCCGCAAUGGACGAAAGUCUGACGGAGCAACGCCGCGUGAGUGAUGAAGGUUUUCGGAUCGUAAAGCUCUGUUGUUAGGGAAGAACAAGUGCGAGAGUAACUGCUCGCACCUUGACGGUACCUAACCAGAAAGCCACGGCUAACUACGUGCCAGCAGCCGCGGUAAUACGUAGUGGCAGCGUUGUCCGGAUUAUUGGU